UGGGGAAUUUUGGACAAUGGGCGCAAGCCUGAUCCAGCAAUGCCGCGUGCAGGAUGAAGGCCUUCGGGUUGUAAACUGCUUUUGUACGGAACGAAAAAGCUCUCUCUAAUACAGGGGGUGAAUGACGGUACCGUAAGAAUAAGCACCGGCUAACUACGUGCCAGCAGCCGCGGUAAUACGUAGGGUGCAAGCGUUAAUCGGAAUUACUGGGCGUAAAGCGUGCGCAGGCGGUUUUGUAAGACAGAGGUGAAAUCCCCGGGCUCAACCUGGGAACUGCCUUAGUGACUGCAAAGCUGGAGUGCGGCAGAGGGGGAUGGAAUUCCGCGUGUAGCAGUGAAAUGCGUAGAUAUGCGGAGCAACACCGAUGGCGAAGGCAAUCCCCUGGGCCUGCACUGACGCUCAUGCACGAAAGCGUGGAGAGCAAACA
Molecule: ribosomal RNA, 427 nt
Filed under: uncultured bacterium
Lineage: Bacteria
Description: bacterial SSU rRNA
Rfam family: Bacterial small subunit ribosomal RNA
Source: RNAcentral